RNAcentral lists this small RNA (50 nucleotides) under unclassified sequences. RNAcentral describes it as "NAD+-I sequence". It matches the Rfam family "nadA riboswitch". The record is from Rfam by way of RNAcentral.
GCUUUCAACAUCCCCGUCCAGUUCGCUGCUUGCGAGAUUGGACUGAAGGC